Long non-coding RNA from Alosa sapidissima (American shad), 701 nucleotides. RefSeq lists it as uncharacterized. The transcript has 5 exons. The record is from RefSeq and is a predicted model, not a curated record. Lineage: Eukaryota; Metazoa; Chordata; Actinopteri; Clupeiformes; Clupeidae.
AUGCCUUCUUCGUUUCAAAAGUCAGUCACAAAUUCCGUAUCAAUCGUUUUCCUUGUUUCGGUUAAUACAGAAUGGAAAGGAACAGUGUUUUUUAAACGAGCAUCUGUAGGAUGAGAAUGCGAUUGUCCUCUCUCCCUUGGAAAAGCAGAGGAAGCGGUGGGAAAGUGCGAGUUAUUGUCUCGAAAACAAGCGAAUGAGCCGAAGAGAGGAGUCAUAAGAUCAGAGGAAUGAGAGAGGGUCAGCAUGUUUAUUCUGCGAGCUGUUUAUGCAUUCCUAGUGAAAUGAGAGGAAGCAUUAACCACCCUUACAGCUUCCCCUAUGUGCUGGGCUCCUCCGUCUCUGCAUGCCACUGUACGAUUGCAGUUAGUGGCCGCGUCGCCGGGCUGCCAGGGCCCCCAUGCCGUAAUGUAUUGUGCUGCAAACAAGAAGGAUGGCCGGAUCCCAGCCUCCGGGUGCCGGGGGAGCCUGCGGUGAUGCCGCCGCGCAGGUAUAUGGAUGGCCUGGGGAGGUCUCCAUCAUUCAUAAAACAUGCCGUCGCGCCAGGGUCGAAUUGAUCUUGCAAAAGAAGCAGGGUGGCACGGCGACCACUUCAUUAGUCUUCGCGCACCAACAAAUCACUGCGGCGCUAGCCUCCGAGGGACCUGCCGCCGCCACACAGCCCACCGCAGUCACCUUAGCCCCAUGCCCCCGGGGAAGGGAAA